This 225-nucleotide unclassified non-coding RNA is filed under the name uncultured Clavaria. RNAcentral describes it as "sequence contains ITS2". The record is from RNAcentral. Lineage: Eukaryota; Fungi; Basidiomycota; Agaricomycetes; Agaricales; Clavariaceae.
AUAUCUCAACACAGACAAGUUUAUCACUUGUUCUGAUGCUUGGAUGCUGAAGGCUGUUGGCAAAACUUGUCAGCUCCUUUUAAAUUUAUUAGCAGAAACCUAUGCAAAAAGCUGGCUUCAGUUUGAUAAGCACUUAUCUGUAUUGCUGCUGCUAGUGAAAUGCUCUUGUUUCAGCUUCCAAAUGUCCAAUUCUUAUGGACUGUCUCUCAAGACAAAACCCUUGAC